GGAAACUCCGUGUCAAAGUGCCCAAUCUUGGGCUGUCUAUCGAAAGGGAAUCGGGUUAACAUUCCCGAACCAGGACGUGGAUGCUAAGCGGUAACGCAAGCAAAGCUGGGGACGGCUGCGGGGGCCCCGACAAGAGUUUUCUUUUCUUGUUAACGAGUGCAUCGACCCUGGAAUCGGAUUGACCGGAGAUAGGGUUGACGGCUCGGGAAAGGCGGUUACUUUUGGACCGUUUCGGAGCGCCCUCGACGCCCCUUGAAAACCUGGCAGCGUGUCUUAUUCGCACCCCUGGUCGUACUCAUCACCGCAUCAGGUCUCCAAGGUUAGCAGCCUCUAGUCGAUAGAAGAAUGUAGUUAAGGGAAGUCGGCAAAAUGGAUCCGUA
This 380-nucleotide ribosomal RNA is filed under the name uncultured Symbiodinium. Its description in RNAcentral is "partial Eukaryotic large subunit ribosomal RNA". It matches the Rfam family "Eukaryotic large subunit ribosomal RNA", at positions 1556 to 1932 of the family's 3401-position model. The record is from RNAcentral. Lineage: Eukaryota; Dinophyceae; Suessiales; Symbiodiniaceae.